CAGCCGUAAACUAUGCGCGUUAGGUGUACUGGUGACCACGUGUUACUGAUGCGCCGAAGAGAAAUCGUGAAACGCACCACCUGGGAAGUACGGUCGCAAGGCUGAAACUUAAAGGACUUGGCGGGGGAGCACCACAACAGGUGGAGCCUGCGGUUUAAUUGGAUUCAACGCCGGACAUCUCACCGGAUAAGACAGCUGAAUGAUUGUCAAUCUGAAGGUUUUACAUGACUAGCUGAGAGGAGGUGCAUGGCGUCAGUGACU
Molecule: ribosomal RNA, 261 nt
Filed under: uncultured archaeon
Lineage: Archaea
Description: partial 16S ribosomal RNA
Rfam family: Archaeal small subunit ribosomal RNA
Source: RNAcentral